Passer montanus (Eurasian tree sparrow) is the source of this 5695-nucleotide long non-coding RNA. RefSeq lists it as uncharacterized. The record is from RefSeq and is a predicted model, not a curated record. The transcript has 3 exons. Lineage: Eukaryota; Metazoa; Chordata; Aves; Passeriformes; Passeridae.
CGGCGCGGCCCGGCCGGUGCGGCGAGCGGGGGAGCCUGACCUGCAGCUGCUGUAAAUCAAAGCGCUUCCAAUAUUGAAACAUCGAUCCCACAUUGGCCGCCAUCUUGAGACAUAUUGAGACAGAAUGAAAGAGGCUGGAGUUCCUGUCUUCACCCUUUCUCCGCUGCCUCCCUGUUCUACCAGUCUGUUCUGUGUCCAGGCAACUGCAAAAAGACAUUUCAAAGGCUCCUGCCGUGCCAUGUAGAUGUUUUCUCUUGUUAGUUUGGACUGCAGGUGUGUAAGCCUCAAGGAUGAAGUAUCGUGGUGCUGUUUUAGGUUCGGGGCACACAGUCAUGGCACAAUAAAUCACACAGGAACGCUCCGCUUUGAACGCGCGCGCACAGAAAAGGGAAAAGAAAAAAGCAUCUGACCUGAAUCAUUUUCUGGAAACACAUCUGGUUAAAAUCCAAAGUUUUAAAUUGAGUAAUAUUUUAAAAUACAUUUGGAUCAAGUCCCUCGUUUGCCAUUUUGUGUGGCAGCAAGCCCAAGGAAAUCUUGCUUGACAGCUCUGUUUUCUCAAAGUGCUGCAUUUCUUCGGGCUGGAUUCUGCAAAGAUCCUGCAGGCUACAGAGCUCCUUGGAGCAAGUGAUAAUGUGCUUUGUGUUCCUGCUGAAAUGUACCUGUGUACAAUGGGAAAGAGAGCUUGGAAAACUGGGUGCAACCCUGUCAAGAAGGUGGUUAGAAUAAAGUUUUAUUGGGUUAUUGUGUUUUGAGGAAUCAUUCUCAUCUGUUCGUUUGAGGAAGGUUUUUCUAAAGUUAGAUUUGAUCUGUGUAAAUGCUAACUUCUUCCAAUGGGCACUAAUAGAGCACUGAAAAAGGAAGCACAGUGGAUUUGAAGUUUAAAUCUCAAAUGGCGGCAGCAGCUAGUACUGCUUGAUACAUCCAAAAUAAUUUUAAGUAUGUUGUACAGAUUUCUUUUGGGGAAUUGGGUGAAAAGCACAUUAAAAUUUGUUGCUUAUUAAUAUAAUAAAAUCUCACUGAAACAGCUCUUUAAUUAACAUAUUUGCACUUUGGACUAUCACAGAAAAUUAUUCUUGUGAUUUUAAUGUCAUCUUCUGGAACACUGAGGAAAAUGGAUCUUUAUUCCAAAGGUCCCAAACUGUUGGGAACAGUUCCCUAGCAUGGCUGCUCCCCUGGGCAUCAGUCUGCAUUCAUGAGGAUAUUUUGGACAAUGAGUCCAGUAUUGAUCACUGGACUUGGGCUUCUCUUUGCCUUAAUGAACCUGGUUGAUUUUCUUGGCCAGGGCACUGAAAGAUGAGGUGCUGCUUCUCCCAGCACCUGUAACUUUUGGGUCUCUUCUCCAAGGAUUCUUGUGGUUUUUUUUCUUCUCAUUUUCAUGUAAACUGACUCCCAAAUUUAUAUCAGUGCCCUAAAAGAAUUCCUCCAGAGCCUUCUCUGUACCUCUGUCUGCUCCUUGUCCAGCCCCUUCCCUCCCCACUUCAUGGCUCUCAUCUUUCCAUUUCCUUCAGCUGAUUCUUGUCCCUGGUUCUUGUGCCUGCUGGAAAGGAGCUCCUCAUUCCAAAAUCCCAGCCCUCUCCACUGUGGAAGUGCCCUUCUGUUCCCCUUAAACUGGAUUUGGGAUAUCCUUUACUGCUCUGUGCCAUUGCACAGCAGGAUUCCACAGGGAUGGCAGGGAACAGAGACAGCCAAACAGAUAAUUUAUGUUCCUGGGAGAUUUAGUCCAAAUUAAGAUCAAAACUCAUAUAUGUCUUCCAAAUCACCGAUUUUUUUUCCCCCAAUUAUUGUCAAUGACUCUAAUUCUGCUUGAUUUAUAUCCCUGCUAGUAGCCAGAGGUUUUGCAGCACAUAAAUUGCCUGAGGGUUUGGCCAGUGAUGUGGAUGCUGUGACAUGUAGAAGCUCAGGAAAGCCCCUGAGCAGAAAAUGGUUGGAAACAGGGAAAAUAGCAGGGAGAAGUGUCCCCCAUGCCUGCACACGAUUACCUGGGUGUCCAGCUGUGGUCAUUCAGCUGGAUGGACCCCUGUUUUCUCAACCAACAUGGCAGUUCCCACAUUCUUUGGUAAAUUGGGGAAGUUUUAGCAGAAAUCAUAUAGAUGGCAGCACACAUGAUCCAAGCACAAAAUCCUGUGAUUUCUGUUAGCCCGUGAGCACAGAUACACUCUGGCAGGUGGAAGAGAAGAAAGCAAUUCUCACAGAGGGCAGGCAAAACAGCCACAAUUAAAAGCAAAGUAAAUUUGUGUGGUGUGGUUACUUGCUGGUUAACUCUGGAGACGUUUAUGAGGAUCCAGCAUAACCCACAACAGACCUUCCUUGAGGAUUUGUGGAUUAAGCCACACCAACACAAACAUGGGAUGGCACUGCAGGGGUGUCUCUGAAUGUGCAGCAGGAGGUACUGAAGACCCCAAAAGAGCUCCCACAAUAUUUCUCUCAAACAGCUGCUUUUCUCACCAAAUGUUCCAUCCAGAUGCAUGGUUGUGUUUUGGUGAACAUCUGGAACAGCAGAAAGAAUUAGAGGAGGAAAGGAUCUAUUGGGUUAUGCAUUCCCUGGAGCUGGAGUGAGUAAAUUUGAUACUGAAUUUCUCUCAGGGUAUGGUUCACCCCAGUUUUAAUUUGUCAGCACUGUCCUUGCCUUCUCAUCCUAUAUCCCAUGCACAGGAUGGUACCAGAGCCAGGAUUUUGUUGGAUGGGAGGCAAAUUGAGUCUUUUUCUGGCCUCAUGCUCUAUGAAGUACUCUUCUCUCUCACUUAGGCUGGUGUUGAUUUGGGAAUUUAGCUUUUCUGCCCUCUAAAGGGAUCAGCAGACAAGUUAGUAGAUUAUAUUCCCAAGAAAAAAAUCCCACCUUUUUUCUCACUUGAAAACUUUCAUGUUUUUUACCUUUUACUGGUUUCUCUUAGAGGUUUGGGGGUUGGAUUUUGCACAUCCUUUUUUUUUUUUUUUUUAUGGUAUUUAUUUUGCUAUUCCUAUCAUGAACCCUCACCCACUUCAUGCAGCCACUUCCUCACUUCAGGUUCUUGCUGUUCCCCUCUCCCUCCCUGCUCAGAUCCAUUUUGGCUGUGCUUUUCCUCCACUAACUCUGUCCCAGACAGGUAAUUCUCCCAGUUUCUGCUGAAUCUUCAGCUCCAAUAUUCCACAUUUUACUUUAGAAUAAGGAUCUGAAGCCUGUAUUAUUAGUUUAAAUGCUUUUUUGUGUUCUGAACCUCACCUGGGCUUAUUCUGUUUGUUUGUGCCGCUGUGCCAGUGGCAGGGGAGCUGGUUUGGUGGCUGUGGCUGGGGACAGCAGCUGUGACAUGAAAGGACUUCGUGACAUGAGAGGACUCCCUGGGUCCUGCCUCAGUUUCUCCAUUCUGCACAGCACCAGUGGGCACUGGGAGAUCAAAAUCUCGUGGUGGCUGUGGGGCACCUCAAGGGUUGCAGGGCAGAGGAGGAGGAGGAGAAGUACAAAUAAAACAGCUCAGAGCUCUCUCUUGCCUCCAGUUCCCCUUUCCUUCCCUUCCACAGAAGUGGGUGAGUGCAGAGCUGAGCUGCCCUGGCAGAGGAAAGAGAAGAAAGGUUUUUCUUUCACUUUCCAAACACAAACACUUCACGUGGGUCGGAAGAAGGGAACAUCCCUCUGCUCCUCUCCUCAGCUGGGCUUUCUGCUCCCACUGUCCCCCAACAGUGGUGAUGUCCCUCGGUGGGUCCCCCAUGGGCACCUGAGUUGUGAUCUGUGGUUUGGGUGUCUGAGGUGGUUUGUUCUCCAGUCAUGAGGGUGAGGUUUCAUUUGGGGAAGCACAUCUUUUCUUAGAAAUGUGAGCACUGUGACUGACUUAGCACAACUGUGAUUUUCUGCAAACACAACUGUGUUUGGGGUGGUUGCAUGCGAAUGCUGGGGAAGGAGAAACAGUAAUUCUGAAUUAAUGCACAAAGGGAGAAAAUAGACUCCCUUAGAGGAAGCCCUGAGUUCACUGCAGCUGCCACACGCUGGCAAAACUGAUGCUGUGUCCCACAGGAAACAUUUCAGUGUGGAGAACCUCCUGUUUGAAGAGAUCAUACCUGUGCUGUUGUGACACAUGAGUGAGCCAAAGUGCUUGGGGGAACACAUCAAUCCAUUCUUUCUUUAGUAACAUGUAUGAAAUAAAUUGGGUUUUUCUCCCCCUGGUGUUGCAUCAUUUCCUAUUUGGUGUCCAGAUGGUGACAGAUUACCAAACAGGGGGAAAAAAAAUCCAUGUAAUAUUUUGUAUCUAAACAUUACCUUCUUCUUUGAAAUAAGGAGAUCCAGUUUUAUUCUGGCCACGAUUCUCUACAUUUAUGUGCUGGCCCUUGUCUGCAUCUGCUUGGCAUUAUCCUGGAUUGGGGCUUUAACCUACUAUGAAUCCAAAGAAAUUAUAUGGAAUUGAUGGGAUCAGUGUGAAUUUCCAGGGGUGUAGGCUAGUGCAGACUCCAUCCUAUUAAUCUUGUUGUGUUCUUUCUGUAAAUAACAAGCUGGAUUCAGCCCAACAAGAGUGAAACAAAUUGGAAGCAUUCAUAAAGAGAAGUAAAUGGCUUUAAGAUGUAAGAAUAAUGUAUUGGUGGGUUGUCUCCAAGAAUGCAGUUUUUAAAGGUACCAAAGCACACACAAAACUUUAGUUUAAUGUGUUCUUAAGUGGCUGCUGUGUGGGGCUGGCUGCUGAAGCAGGGCCAUGGGCAUAAGACCUGCUUUCAUGAAGGGAUUAUAUAAAAAAGGAAAAACUGCAAGAAGGAGAAAAAUGUUCAAGGGCAGCCAACCUGGAGGAAACAAAUAUAAUUUAGUUGUGCGAAGUGUUUAUAAAUGCAGUUUAUGAACAUGUAUGAAGGAGUAAUUUUUUAUUUUUCAGACUGCAACUGUAACACAGAAAAUAAACAAUUGCUUAUUUGUCCUUUUCAGGGACUUUUAGAGAAUACUUUGCAGUUUGGCUACAUAUUUUGACCUGCUUUUUCCUGUUUAAUAGCUUGUUAUUCUGUUGAUUAUUUCAGAUUAGCUUUUUGUACGUGCUCUUCUUUAUUUGUGAUUGAUAGGGAAACAUUUACAUGUUUUAAAAAACAAAUUACAUGGUUUAUCUGAAAGUGGAAAUUGAUUUUAAAUUUUGUUCAAAGUUUCAGAUUUCUACAUGCGUGGGCUACCAAAUUUGAUCUAUCAGUCUCACUCCUUGGUUCUCUUGCAUCAUCAGAAUAAAUGUGAGAUGACACAGAAUGCCUGGAAUUGCAAUAAUGCAGUGUAACAGAACUGACUAUCAAGCUUCAUAUAUAGAUUAGAUUAAUGCAUAAAUCUAAUUUGAUAUUUUACAUUACAGAGCUAAUAUUUUACAGAUGUAAUGCCAAGUUGUUAAGUAAAUGAAAAUCACGGAGAGUCCAAUUCUGAAAGGAUUACUCAGGCAAAAAUCCCUGCAGUCAGAGGGAGUAUUGCCUGAACGAAGUCUGCAAAAUUAGAACUAGAGCCAUAUUCCCCAAACAGACAAGCAGAUUUAUCUGUGAGAUCUGCCCAGGAGUUGAAUUCUUGUAACAAUGAAAGAUAUAUAGGGAAAACGAGCAAGUAGGUAACCUGAAAUAUAAGGAGAGACUGAUAAGAUCUGAGCAAGCACUUGUGUGGUUGGUGAUGUCAACAGGAGCCCAAGUUGUUUUAAUAAACUUGUUCAUAGUUGUCCUAUAGUGUGUUUUAUAUACUGAAGUACAUAGAUCACGUAAGAGUUUAACAAGAAGAGGA